UGCUGCUAAUACCCGAUGUGCCGGAAGGUGAAAGAUUUAUCGUCUGAAGAAGAGCUCGCGUCCGAUUAGCUAGUUGGUAGGGUAAAAGCCUACCAAGGCGACGAUCGGUAGCUGGUCUGAGAGGAUGACCAGCCACACUGGGACUGAGACACGGCCCAGACUCCUACGGGAGGCAGCAGUGGGGAAUUUUCCGCAAUGGGCGAAAGCCUGACGGAGCAAGACCGCGUGAGGGAGGAAGGCUCUUGGGUUGUAAACCUCUUUUCUCUGGGAAGAAGCUCUGACGGUACCAGAGGAAUCAGCAUCGGCUAACUCCGUGCCAGCAGCCGCGGUAAUACGGAGGAUGCAAGCGUUAUCCGGAAUUAUUGGGCGUAAAGCGUCCGUAGGUGGCAAUUCAAGUCUGCCGUUAAAACCAGUGGCUCAACCACUGACAGGCGGUGGAAACUGAAUAGCUAGAGUGUGGUAGGGGUAGAGGGAAUUCCCAGUGUAGCGGUGAAAUGCGUAGAGAUUGGGAAGAACACCGGUGGCGAAAGCGCUCUGCUGGACCACAACUGACACUCACAGGACGAAAGCUAGGGGAGCGAAAGGGAUUAGAUACCCC
Molecule: ribosomal RNA, 598 nt
Filed under: Phormidium sp. WUC1751
Lineage: Bacteria; Bacillati; Cyanobacteriota; Cyanophyceae; Oscillatoriales; Oscillatoriaceae
Description: bacterial SSU rRNA
Rfam family: Bacterial small subunit ribosomal RNA
Source: RNAcentral